AGCGGAUUUCCGCUUACAUGUUAUGCGAGCGGAUACUGGGCCUACCAGAAGUGAAAGUGGCAACUCUAAAUUCGUCCUGUGCUGCAAUAAUGUCCUUGGUUUGUUGUCGCGUGUUUAGUGCUAUUUAGUUAUGAUACUGAUUUGUAAUGACUAUUUUAUUAUUUGAUAUUGAUCGGUACCAAUGUUUCUUUAGUUAUGUGUCAUAUUUCUUAUCCGAAGAGUUUUAGACUUCCUGUAAUGAUUUCGUCCAAUGAUGUAGCUGCGCGCCACGCGAGAGCCAAUCAGGUAACCGUUUAUUCUGACCAAUGAGAGAGCAGCCGAAUUUCCGUUGAGCCCCCGUCGCGUCCAGAGCGGGAAUUCGGUGCGCCGCGACAUGGCGAGGAUCGAGAUGUGCUUGGAUUGCGCCUGCUUGAACGGGCGUUUCAGUUUGUUUGUUUGUCUGCUGAAUACACGCUUGGUUGGCUCCGA
Molecule: long non-coding RNA, 468 nt
Filed under: Amphibalanus amphitrite
Lineage: Eukaryota; Metazoa; Arthropoda; Thecostraca; Balanomorpha; Balanidae
Description: uncharacterized LOC122373169
Source: RNAcentral